GAUUUGAUCGAGGAGCGCGGUUACCGGACGGGCUGGGUCUAUGGUCGCUCCGCGGGCCGCUCCGCCGGCUGGUGCUUUUUUAUCAGGGCAAGCUGUGUUCCAUGGCAGGGAACUUUUGGCAGAGCUCCCACUAUUUGCAAUGGAUUUUGGAUAAACAAGAUCUGUUGAAGGAGCGCCAAAAGGAUUUAAAGUUUCUCUCAGAGGAAGAAUAUUGGAAGUUACAAAUAUUUUUUACAAAUGUUAUCCAAGCAUUAGGUGAACAUCUUAAAUUAAGACAACAAGUUAUUGCCACUGCUACGGUAUAUUUCAAGAGAUUCUAUGCCAGGUAUUCUCUGAAAAGUAUAGAUCCUGUAUUAAUGGCUCCUACAUGUGUGUUUUUGGCAUCCAAAGUAGAGGAAUUUGGAGUAGUUUCAAAUACAAGAUUGAUUGCUGCUGCUACUUCUGUAUUAAAAACUAGAUUUUCAUAUGCCUUUCCAAAGGAAUUUCCUUAUAGGAUGAAUCAUAUAUUAGAAUGUGAAUUCUAUCUGUUAGAACUAAUGGCUAAUAAGAGGUUUCAGUGUGUUGCAGAUGUGACACUUU
This 579-nucleotide long non-coding RNA is filed under the name Homo sapiens (human). Its description in RNAcentral is "non-protein coding lnc-USP45-3:3". Lineage: Eukaryota; Metazoa; Chordata; Mammalia; Primates; Hominidae. The record is from RNAcentral.